RNAcentral lists this ribosomal RNA (600 nucleotides) under uncultured bacterium. RNAcentral's name for it is "bacterial SSU rRNA". It matches the Rfam family "Bacterial small subunit ribosomal RNA", at positions 359 to 988 of the family's 1533-position model. The record is from RNAcentral.
GAUUGGACAGGGCGCAAGCCUGAUCAGCCAUGCCGCGUGGGUGAUGAAGCCCUAGGGUUGUAAAGCCCUUUCGGCGGGGAAGAUAAUGACGGUACCCGCAGAAGAAGCCCCGGCUAACUUCGUGCCAGCAGCCGCGGUAAUACGAAGGGGGCUAGCGUUGCUCGGAAUCACUGGGCGUAAAGCGCACGUAGGCGGAUUGCUAAGUCAGGGGUGAAAUCCUGGAGCUCAACUCCAGAACUGCCCUUGAUACUGGCGACCUCGAGUCCGGGAGAGGUGAGUGGAACUGCGAGUGUAGAGGUGAAAUUCGUAGAUAUUCGCAAGAACACCAGUGGCGAAGGCGGCUCACUGGCCCGGUACUGACGCUGAGGUGCGAAAGCGUGGGCAGCAAACAGGAUUAGAUACCCUGGUAGUCCACGCCGUAAACGAUGGAUGCUAGCCGUUGGAGGGUUUACUCUUCAGUGGCGCAGCUAACGCAUUAAGCAUCCCGCCUGGGGAGUACGGUCGCAAGAUUAAAACUCAAAGGAAUUGACGGGGGCCCGCACAAGCGGUGGAGCAUGUGGUUCAAUUCGAACACGCGCAGAACUUCCAGCUUUUGACAUC